This 465-nucleotide ribosomal RNA is filed under the name Vreelandella stevensii. RNAcentral describes it as "partial 16S ribosomal RNA". It matches the Rfam family "Bacterial small subunit ribosomal RNA", at positions 338 to 795 of the family's 1533-position model. Lineage: Bacteria; Pseudomonadati; Pseudomonadota; Gammaproteobacteria; Oceanospirillales; Halomonadaceae. The record is from RNAcentral.
CCUACGGGAGGCAGCAGUGGGGAAUAUUGGACAAUGGGGGGAACCCUGAUCCAGCCAUGCCGCGUGUGUGAAGAAGGCCCUCGGGUUGUAAAGCACUUUCAGUGAGGAAGAACGCCUGGUGGUUAAUACCCAUCAGGAAAGACAUCACUCACAGAAGAAGCACCGGCUAACUCCGUGCCAGCAGCCGCGGUAAUACGGAGGGUGCGAGCGUUAAUCGGAAUUACUGGGCGUAAAGCGCGCGUAGGUGGCUUGAUAAGCCGGUUGUGAAAGCCCCGGGCUCAACCUGGGAACGGCAUCCGGAACUAUCAAGCUAGAGUGCAGGAGAGGAAGGUAGAAUUCCCGGUGUAGCGGUGAAAUGCGUAGAGAUCGGGAGGAAUACCAGUGGCGAAGGCGGCCUUCUGGACUGACACUGACACUGAGGUGCGAAAGCGUGGGUAGCAAACAGGAUUAGAUACCCUUGUAGUC